CCACCUGCACCUUCUGCGGGAGGCAGGGAGGGAGGGAGGGAGGGUGGGCAGGAGUCCGCAAGCGGCACGCCCCAGCCUCCCCCCCUCCUUCCACCCAGAUGGUCCCGUGGAGCCCAAGGGCAGACCCCUCCUUGCAGAGUGACAGAGGCCACACUUGAGAGGCCCGCCGCCCACACCAGGGGCAGCUCGGGAAGCGCCCAGAUCCAGGCCCCAGGGUGGCGGCCGUCUGUUCACCCGCCCGCGGGGCUCAGCGGUUCUUUGCCUCCAGGAUGCAGACGGUGAGCUUCCCGGCCGUGGGCACGUAGCGCAGCGAGGUGCAGAUGUCGCCCAGCUUCUCCGGCUGCCAGGGGAGCGGGGUCCAGGUCAUCUCAGCAGCCGCCAGCACGGCUGACCCCUUGGGGCCUCGGCCAGGGGCAGCCCAGCCCUGCCUGUGGCGGGCAGACCCUGGAGCUGUGGGCACCGUGCCGGUGGGGCCCCGGAGGCUCUGAAUGGACGUGGGGUCCUCCCCGGGCUGAGCAGAGGGGGUAGGGCCCUCCCCUGUUCUGAUCACAGCCGUCCCGCCUGCAGCGUGCGAGGUGGUUUUCAGAGCCCCUGGUACCUCUCAUCUGGUGUUAGUGCCACAGGGCAGGGGCCUCGUGACCAGAGAGGAGGACGGUGGUCUCCGCCACUGCCAUGGCUCGGAGCCGAAGCGUCUCAGAGGUGGCCCCGGGGGCCAAGGCCGGCCACCUCCCCCGCACCCAGGGGCUGGGUGACAGUCAGCUGGUGCUCGGAGGGCAGUGUCUAAACGGAGGCUUUGUGCGCAGUGGGCGCUCACAGUCAGUGAGUGUGCAGCAAGUGCUGCAGCCGCUCCCAGGAAGACAAGCCCCCUGCUGAGAACCCGCUCAGACAGCGUGGGCCUUCCCGGCGGGCACACAAGGCCCCAGGUCCCGCCACUCCUCGAUGGGCUGCCCCAGGUCCACCGUGUUCAUGGGCACCUUCACCUCACCGAUGAUGUCGUGCUUGGAGAAGCGGUCAAAGUCGUAGAUGGCCAUCACCAGGGUCUUGCCACCCAGCUCCUGGAGGAAGACCUUGACGUAAGGGUCCGAGGUGCCGCCCAUAUCCAGGGCGGGCAGUUCCGCGGCUUGCAGGACGCCCACAGUGAGCUGUGAAGACAGCGGGCACCCGUCAGCCCCCCAGGCCCCAGGGAACCGCGUGACCCCGGGAGGUGGUGACCCGCCUGAGGCCGGCACAGCACCCGGGCCUUCCCUGGAGCCGGCCCGUGUCCCCGCCCCCCACCUGGUUG
Dama dama (fallow deer) is the source of this 1282-nucleotide long non-coding RNA. RefSeq lists it as uncharacterized. The record is from RefSeq and is a predicted model, not a curated record. The transcript has 4 exons. NCBI's taxonomy places the organism in Eukaryota, Metazoa, Chordata, Mammalia, Artiodactyla, Cervidae.